This 330-nucleotide small nuclear RNA is filed under the name Castor canadensis (American beaver). Its description in RNAcentral is "7SK RNA (ENSCCNG00000014330.1)". It matches the Rfam family "7SK RNA". From Rfam's summary of the family: 7SK was discovered as an abundant small nuclear RNA in the mid-70s but a possible function has only recently been suggested. Two independent studies have found that 7SK RNA binds the CDK9/cyclin T complex (known as elongation factor P-TEFb). Lineage: Eukaryota; Metazoa; Chordata; Mammalia; Rodentia; Castoridae. The record is from RNAcentral.
GAAUAUGAGGGAAUCUGGCUGAGAUAUGUCAUCCCAUUGAUCACCAAGGUUGAUUCGGAUGAUCUGGCUGGUAGGCAGGUGUCCCCUUCCUCCCUCACUGCUCCAUGUGCAUCUCUCCUGAAGCUAUGUGCUGAGUGGAAGAAGACACCAUCUCCAAUAAAGAAGGACCAUUCUUCUGUUAAGGAUAUACAAGGAGCUGCACUCCCCUGCUAGAACCUCCAAACAAGCUCUCAAAAAUAUGUUUUAGAGGAGAUUUAAAUGUUAGUUAUCCUAACGUGGUCCACACUUGGAGACGGUGAUCAUCAGUGAGUGUUAUCUCACCCCACAUCC